Molecule: ribosomal RNA, 497 nt
Filed under: uncultured bacterium
Lineage: Bacteria
Description: partial 16S ribosomal RNA
Rfam family: Bacterial small subunit ribosomal RNA
Source: RNAcentral
GAUGAACGCUGGCGGCGUGCCUAAUACAUGCAAGUCGAGCGAACAGACGAGGAGCUUGCUCCUCUGACGUUAGCGGCGGACGGGUGAGUAACACGUGGAUAACCUACCUAUAAGACUGGGAUAACUUCGGGAAACCGGAGCUAAUACCGGAUAACAUGUUGAACCGCAUGGUUCAACAGUGAAAGACGGUCUUGCUGUCACUUAUAGAUGGAUCCGCGCCGCAUUAGCUAGUUGGUAAGGUAACGGCUUACCAAGGCAACGAUGCGAAGCCGACCUGAGGGGGUGAUCGGCCACACUGGAACUGAGACACGGUCCAGACUCCUACGGGAGGCAGCAGUAGGGAAUCUUCCGCAAUGGGCGAAAGCCUGACGGAGCAACGCCGCGUGAGUGAAGAAGGUCUUCGGAUCGUAAAACUCUGUUAUUAGGGAAGAACAAAUGUGUAAGUAACUAUGCACGUCUUGACGGUACCUAAUCAGAAAGCCACGGCUAACUACGUG